GACGAACGCUGGCGGCGUGCUUAACACAUGCAAGUCGAACGGAAAGGCCCUGCUUUUGUGGGGUGCUCGAGGGGCGAACGGGGGAGUAACACGUGAGUAACCUGCCCUUGACUUUGGGAUAACUUCAGGAAACUGGGGCUAAUACCGGAUAGGAGCUCCUGCUGCAUGGGGGGGGUUGGAAAGUUUCGGCGGUUGGGGAUGGACUCGCGGCUUAUCAGCUUGUUGGUGGGGUAGUGGCUUACCAAGGCUUUGACGGGUAGCCGGCCUGAGAGGGUGACCGGCCACAUUGGGACUGAGAUACGGCCCAGACUCCUACGGGAGGCAGCAGUGGGGAAUAUUGCACAAUGGGCGGAAGCCUGAUGCAGCAACGCCGCGUGCGGGAUGACGGCCUUCGGGUUGUAAACCGCUUUCGCCUGUGACGAAGCGUGAGUGACGGUAAUGGGUAAAGAAGCACCGGCUAACUACGUG
RNAcentral lists this ribosomal RNA (468 nucleotides) under uncultured bacterium. Its description in RNAcentral is "partial 16S ribosomal RNA". It matches the Rfam family "Bacterial small subunit ribosomal RNA", at positions 28 to 507 of the family's 1533-position model. The record is from RNAcentral.